UUGCAGUUAAAAAGCUCGUAGUUGGAUUUCGGAACCGGCCGAUUGGUCCGUCCUCUGGAUCGUGUACUGAUCGGUCUGUUCUUCUUCGCGAAGACCGCGUGUGCUCUUAACUGAGUGGGCGUGGGAUUCGCGACGUUUACUUUGAAAAAAUUAGAGUGUUCAAAGCAGGCAGUCGCUUGAAUAUCUCAGCAUGGAAUAAUAGAAUAGGACUUUGGUCUUAUUUUGUUGGUUUCCGAGACCGAAGUAAUGAUUAAUAGGGACAGUUGGGGGCAUUCGUAUUUCAUUGUCAGAGGUGAAAUUCUUGGAUUUAUGAAAGACGAACUUCUGCGAAAGCAUUUGCCAAGGAUGUUUUCAUUAAUCAAGAACGAAAGUUGGAGGCUCGAAGACGAUCAGAUACCGUCCUAGUUCCAACCAUAAACGAUGCCGUCUGCGGAUCGGAGGUCGCUCAUGUAAAGGCUCCCUUCGGCACGCUAUGAGAAAUCAAAGGCUUCGGGUUCCGGGGGGAGUAUGUUCGCAAGAAUGA
RNAcentral lists this ribosomal RNA (523 nucleotides) under uncultured marine eukaryote. RNAcentral describes it as "SSU rRNA". It matches the Rfam family "Eukaryotic small subunit ribosomal RNA", at positions 613 to 1140 of the family's 1831-position model. The record is from RNAcentral.